AUUGAACGCUGGCGGCAGGCUUAACACAUGCAAGUCGAGCGGGGUGAUGGUGCUUGCACUAUCACUUAGCGGCGGACGGGUGAGUAAUGCUUAGGAAUCUGCCUAUUGGUGGGGGACAACAUCUCGAAAGGGAUGCUAAUACCGCAUACGUCCUACGGGAGAAAGCAGGGGAUCACUUGUGACCUUGCGCUAAUAGAUGAGCCUAAGUCGGAUUAGCUAGUUGGUGGGGUAAAGGCCUACCAAGGCGACGAUCUGUAGCGGGUCUGAGAGGAUGAUCCGCCACACUGGGACUGAGACACGGCCCAGACUCCUACGGGAGGCAGCAGUGGGGAAUAUUGGACAAUGGGGGGAACCCUGAUCCAGCCAUGCCGCGUGUGUGAAGAAGGCCUUAUGGUUGUAAAGCACUUUAAGCGAGGAGGAGGCUCUUUUGGUUAAUACCCAAGAUGAGUGGACGUUACUCGCGGAAUAAGCACCGGCUAACUCUGUGCCAGCCGCCGCGGUAA
This 503-nucleotide ribosomal RNA is filed under the name uncultured bacterium. RNAcentral describes it as "partial 16S ribosomal RNA". It matches the Rfam family "Bacterial small subunit ribosomal RNA", at positions 30 to 523 of the family's 1533-position model. The record is from RNAcentral.